UACGUAGGGUGCAAGCGUUAAUCGGAAUUACUGGGCGUAAAGCGUGCGCAGGCGGCUAUGCAAGACAGAUGUGAAAAUCCCCGGGCUCAACCUGGGAACUGCAUUUGUGACUGCAUGGCUAGAGUGCGGCAGAGGGGGAUGGAAUUCCGCGUGUAGCAGUGAAAUGCGUAGAUAUGCGGAGGAACACCGAUGGCGAAGGCAAUCCCCUGGGCCUGCACUGACGCUCAUGCACGAAAGCGUGGGGAGCAAACAGG
This 254-nucleotide ribosomal RNA is filed under the name uncultured bacterium. RNAcentral's name for it is "partial 16S ribosomal RNA". It matches the Rfam family "Bacterial small subunit ribosomal RNA", at positions 524 to 776 of the family's 1533-position model. The record is from RNAcentral.